UUCUUUCUUUUUUUUUUUUUUUUGGUUUUUUCGAGACAGGGUUUCUCUGUGUAGCCCUGGCUGUCCUGGAACUUACUCUGUAGACCAGGCUGGCUUCAAACUCAGAAAUCUGCCUGCCUCUGCUUCUCGAGUUCUCGAGUGCUGGGAUUAAAGGUGUGUUCCACCACACCCAGUUCGAGGCCCCAUUUCAAAACAAAACUGAACAAAAUCAAAAACCAAACCCAGCCAGGUAUGGUGGCACAUGCCUUUAAUCUCAGCAAGUGGAUCUCUCCGAGUUCAAGGCCAUUCUGUUCUACUUGGUGAGUUGCAAGUCAGCCAGGGCUAUGAGGAGACCCUGUCUCAGAACAAACCCUGGGUUGUGCACACACACUGUCAACAGGCUCUCCCAUUAUCACAGCCCACCGGGAGCCAGGGUAGCACACUCACCUGCAAUCCCACCACUUUGGAGGCUCUGGCAGGAUAGCUAUGGAUUUGAGGCUAGCUUGGGCUAAACAGUGAAUUCUUGGGUAGUCUCAGCAACAGAGUGAGACAGCAAGUGUCUCAAAACAAGACAUAACACAAAGAACCCAAAAAGGAGGAGCAGCAAUGCUGCCUGACCAUUCUGCCUUCCCCACCCAAAGAAAGUUCCACACACAGCCAGACCAAGCCACAGUUAGCAGGGCCAGGCCUGCCUGCCCUGUCUGCAGUUGGUGGGCCAAAGUCUGCUGUCACUAAACCAGGACCCUGUCCUGGGUGGUGCUGAUGCACAUUUUUGAUCCCAGCAUUUGGGAGGGAGAAGCAGGAAGUUCUUUGUGAGUUUGAGGCCAGCCAGUUCUACAAAGCAAGUUCCACAACAGCCAGAGCUACACAGAACCCUGACUCCAAAACAAACACCCAAGACCCUGCUGAGAAGCCUCACCCGCCCAGAGCCAAUGGCUCCUCUCUGGUCUUCUCACCAGGCAUGAUUCGCUACAGAAUCUUCUAGAAGCAUACUUAAAUGACUUCAUCAAGCUUGCUCUAGAAGACACAGGUCCCAUAACCAUACAUAACCUCUGCAGCUACCUGCCAAAGGUCAUUCUCCUGGGGCCAUAGAGUGACCUACCUGCACAGCUAGCUGCUAGCGUGGCCACCAUUUACAGAUGAGGAGACUCAAGGUCUAUGGCUGAGUGAGCAGUGAGGCUGGUCAGUGCUGAGCCUGUCUCAGAACACCUGGAUCCUGGGGCACCUCCUCACAGUUCCCACUUCCAGGGACUGGCUGUGCAGAUAUAUACAGCCUUUGCAGCCAACAGGCAGGAUGUAAGUUUGACAGGAGACUCAAGGAGGAAGUGUGGGCUAGUGAGCUGGUUCAGUAGGUAGAGGUAUUUAAGACAAAGCAUCAUGGUCUGUUUGACUUGUGGAACCCACAUGAUGGAGAGAACUGAAUCCUUUGACCUCUACAUGGGGGUCUGUGGCAGGCACACACACACUCACUCACAUUAGUAUUUUCAUUUUUGGAAGAGGUUAUCACUAUGCAGACAGCCUGACUUCAAACUCUGAGAUCUGCCUGCCUCUUGAGUUCUGGGAUCAAAGACGUGUACCACUGCUGGGUGUGGUGACACACACCUUUAAACCCAGCAUUUAGUGGGCACAGUUUUGAGACUAGCCUGGUCUAAAAAGCAAGUCCAGGACAGUCAGGGGUGUUACACAGAGAAACCCUGUCUUGCAAAACAAACAACCAAAAACCCCAAAGAUGGGUAUCACCAUACCAGGCUUCGUUUGAAACAGGUCUCUUGUGCCCUUAAACUGCUGAUCCUCAAGUGUCUACCUGUCAAGUGCUGGAUUGCAACUGCAUGCCCUUUGUGUCCCUGAGGUGCUGCGGAUGGUCGCAGGACCUUGUACUUGUUAGAAAAGCCCUCCACCAUGGAGCUACAACCCCAGCCCCUCGCUGUCUGAUUCUAGGAAGGCACUACACCUUUGAGCCACAUCCCUAGGUCUUUAGUCUAAGACAAGGUCUGUGUUGCCCAAACUAGUCUCUGACUUCUGACAAUCCUCCUGCCUCAGCUCAGCCCCCCUGGCAGCUGGAUUAUCACCAACGUCUACAUGUGAUUGGAACUGGAUAUUAGUUACUAAGUGAAAACUGGUGCCUGAGACUAAAGGCCCAAAUGGGCUGUGUGUCACCUGGAAUCUCAGCACCCAGGAGCCAAGAGGUGAGGAGAGUGUGGUCAAUCUGAGGCUAACCUGGUCUACACAGAGCUCCAGACCAUCUAGGGACACACAGCAAGACUCUGUAAAAGUCAUAUAAAACCAUGAUGCCUGGAAGACAUUUCCACCGGGAGAGGUGCCAGGCGUGGCUGGCACUGGGGUUUGACAAACCAGAGUGCAGUAGGGGAAGUGCUAGGCUCUCAGGCAGUGUUCUUCAUUUGUGCAAAGGCCUAAGAAGACAACCUCCACUCUGCAGAUGACUAAACUGCUGAGGGGUCGUCAGGGGUCUCUCUUCUCUCAGGUGUCCCCUCCCUCACAGACUCUGCAACUUUGAAAGGUGAAGCCCCAAGCACCCCUGAGAGGAAACAGGGGAGCUGGGCUGUUGUAAACACAGCCCCACCCGGAACGGAAGCACCUGCGGCUGGAGGGGGCCACACCUCUCAACAAUUGGCUUUAGAUUCCUCAGGGUCCCUGUCCCCUGUAGCUCUGGGGCUCGCCCCUCCUCUGCUUAGUGGCUCUACUCCUGGGUGGCUGGCAGGCACCCAGCUUGGGCGGUGCCCCUCCUGACCUGUCCCUGCCCCUUCCUGCUCGCUUUGAUGCAGGCCCACUUCCUUUGACAGGAACCCCCUCCCUCAGCAGCCUGGUUAAAUGCAGAAGGCCGUGGUGAAGCAGUGCUUUCCGCAGCAUCUCUUGCAGGCAGAGGACUCUUCUCAAUGCCCUGUCUCCCAACCCUUGUACCAGUGCUGUGCCUCAGACCCUGGUACAGGCCUGGGGGAUAGGGACUUGGGAACCCCAGCAGCAACAACUCCAGCUUCUCCCUCCAGCCAAGGGACUUUUCCCCAGGUUUGGCCUACAUACAGGGGAUGCCUUGGGUCCCUUCCUAAGUGGGUGUUCCCAUCACUCCAACAUCCAUCCUGGACAACCUGGGGCCUUCUUCUCAUCUCACUGCUGAAGGGUUCCUGUCCUUGUUGGCCCUGUCCCUGGACAUAAGCCAGAGGGGAGGCAGUGGCUACAGGGGUUCAAGCAGAUCAUGAUACUCAAGUUGGAGAACUUGCCCCUUCCUAGGUGUCUUCACCUGCAAGUUCCCAGACGUUCACACAGCAGUCUACACACUCCUGGACCCCACACUGCUCUGCCCAUGGGACACCUCCAGCCUAGCCAGUGACUGUCUUGUCUAGAGUCAUUAUCCCAAGCUACCAGAGUCACCUGAAACAGGGGGACAGGUGCACAGACAUGUUCUUGUGACGCUUCUCAAAGCGAUUGUACUUUCGGAUGUAAUGGAGAUAGUCCCGGCGGAUGACAAUGGUCCUCUGCAUCUUCAUCUUCGUCACGACACCUGGGAGAGUAACAGAAAGGUGUUAGCAGGUAGGAGUCAGUUGAACGGGGCUCCCAAGAAGCUCCAUUUAUGGCAUCAGCUUUGUCAACUGGCUGUCUCAGCAGUGCCCUAGAGGACAUCUGAAGACCAUCGUGAGAACAGACAUCACUUGCCAGCGCCCCUGGACGCAGGAACCUAGAACCACCCUUCCAACAUCCCACUCACCAGACAGGAUCCGACCUCGGAUGGAGACGUUACCAGUGAAGGGGCAUUUCUUGUCUAUGUAGGUACCCUCAAUAGCCUGCAAAGUUAAGAAAGUGGGGUUUAGAUUACCACUUCCUAAACAGAACCAAGGAUGACGCCUCAGGGCCCAUACUACAAUUCCCAGGGGCCCAUGGGAAGCCACUGUGAAGGGGGCGGGGUGGCUGUGCUCCCACACGUGCAGGGCAGCAGGGAUCUCAUCUGCUGGAGGGUCCUGUACCUCUUUAGGCGUCUUGAAGCCUAGACCGAUAUUCUUGUAGUACCGAGGGAGUUUUUCCUUGCCGGUUUCUCCCAGCAGAACCCGCUUCUUGUUUUGAAAGAUCGUAGGCUGCUUUUGGUAAGCACGCUCCGUCUGUAGGGAUGAGAAUUUGGUGAGGUUGCAGGUAAAGUUCAAGGAAAUCAGAGACAAUAUUUCUUCCUUCCUACCUUCAACCUUAUUUGCCCCAAUCGCCAAAACCGGCUGGUCAGGGCUCUCCAACCACCCCAAGUCUAGUUUAGCUCACACACUGCGUCCCAUCUAACACCUCCACAGCCUGCAGAACUCACGGCUGAGAUCAAAAAGAGCUUUUCAGCCAGACUGGACCUCCAAAACAUACAAAUCCACUCAUUCGGGAUUCAAGCUUAUGUCCACGUAGCCGAGCCUGGUGGGCCGGAUCUGUCAUCCCGGUUGAGGUUGAGGCAGGAUGGCAAGUUUAAGACAAGCCUAAGCUCAUCGAGGCCAGAGCUGCGCUCACACUGAAAACUACAGCGAGGUCGGGACCGCAGCCCUGCCGUAGAGCGCACGAGGUCCGGGCCUCAGUCUCCAUCAAGGGGAAAAAACCUGCUUUACCCAGUGUCCCCGGCUCUGCCGCCGCAGGACUCCCGCGCCGCAGGAUGCCCUCCUCCCGCCACAAUCCCUCACCCGUUAAGCUCUGAGCUUUAAGAACCAACUCCCGAAGCGCCAGGGACCCCAUUACUGCGUAGAGCCCGGAUUUCCGAGCCGCCUGAGACGAAGGCAUUCGCAGGCAUCCUCGCUUCAGCUAAUGCGUAAGACAACGAGGACGCCAAGGGAUACGCUCCACACCGAAGCGUCGGGGGAAAGCAACUAAACGCUCGAACCUGAAUGUCCGCCAUCUUCCCGGCCGCCGGAGAAAGGGAGAGGCAGGGCCGCUCCCGGCUUCCUUAUUCACCACGCGAGGUCGGGGCGGAAGUGACGCGGGGUUAUCCUCACGGAGGUGGGAGGUACUUCCGGCGAGAGCCCGCGUUCCUGGGACUGUCCGUACGCCGCCAUGACGGGGGAGGACUAAGGGGCGGGAAGAUCCUAUCAUCUCGCGAGAUUUCAGGAGCACGAUGUGGAGGAAACGUGCAUCAUGUGGUACGGCGAGGCUUAGGGCGGAGAAGGCGUGCCGUACGGGUUGGGAAACACGUGCUGGGAUUCAGUUUCCAGAGAGAAGCGGCCGUGCAGAGCGGGUCUCAAGAAAGGGGUGAACCGCUUUACAGCAGAGUAUCUGCCAUACGAUGUCAGGAGCAGCCAGCGUCGACCGAAUAGUCAACCUUUCUUCCUUUUAUUAAAGGCCGACGUCACCAAG
This is a long non-coding RNA of Mus musculus (house mouse), 5304 nucleotides long. RefSeq annotates it as predicted gene 45552. The transcript has 2 exons. NCBI's taxonomy places the organism in Eukaryota, Metazoa, Chordata, Mammalia, Rodentia, Muridae. The record is from RefSeq and is a predicted model, not a curated record.